GAUGAACGCUUGCGGCGUGCCUAAUACAUGCAAGUCGAGCGAACAGACGAGGAGCUUGCUCCUCUGACGUUAGCGGCGGACGGGUGAGUAACACGUGGAUAACCUACCUAUAAGACUGGGAUAACUUCGGGAAACCGGAGCUAAUACCGGAUAAUAUAUUGAACCGCAUGGUUCAAUAGUGAAAGACGGUUUUGCUGUCACUUAUAGAUGGAUCCGCGCCGCAUUAGCUAGUUGGUAAGGUAACGGCUUACCAAGGCGACGAUGCGUAGCCGACCUGAGAGGGUGAUCGGCCACACUGGAACUGAGACACGGUCCAGACUCCUACGGGAGGCAGCAGUAGGGAAUCUUCCGCAAUGGGCGAAAGCCUGACGGAGCAACGCCGCGUGAGUGAUGAAGGUCUUCGGAUCGUAAAACUCUGUUAUUAGGGAAGAACAAAUGUGUAAGUAACUAUGCACGUCUUGACGGUACCUAAUCAGGAAGCCACGGCUAACUACGUG
This 497-nucleotide ribosomal RNA is filed under the name uncultured bacterium. RNAcentral's name for it is "partial 16S ribosomal RNA". It matches the Rfam family "Bacterial small subunit ribosomal RNA", at positions 28 to 507 of the family's 1533-position model. The record is from RNAcentral.